AACGAACGCUGGCGGCAUGCCUAACACAUGCAAGUCGAACGAGACCUUCGGGUCUAGUGGCGCACGGGUGCGUAACGCGUGGGAACCUGCCCUUAGGUUCGGCAUAACUCCCCGAAAGGGGUGCUAAUACCGGAUAAUGUCUUCGGACCAAAGAUUUAUCGCCUUUGGAUGGGCCCGCGUUGGAUUAGCUAGUUGGUAGGGUAAAAGCCUACCAAGGCGACGAUCCAUAGCUGGUCUGAGAGGAUGAUCAGCCACACUGGGACUGAGACACGGCCCAGACUCCUACGGGAGGCAGCAGUGGGGAAUAUUGGACAAGGGGCGAAAGCCUGAUCCAGCAGUGACGCGUGAGUGAUGAAGGCCUUAGGGUUGUAAAGCUCUCUUACCCGGGAUGAUAAUGACAGUACCGGGAGAAUAAGCCCCGGCUAACUCCGUG
RNAcentral lists this ribosomal RNA (433 nucleotides) under uncultured bacterium. RNAcentral's name for it is "partial 16S ribosomal RNA". It matches the Rfam family "Bacterial small subunit ribosomal RNA", at positions 29 to 507 of the family's 1533-position model. The record is from RNAcentral.